AGGGUUAUAGUUAAUUAUAACAUUUGGGUUGCAUUCAAAAAGUAUUGAAAUAAUCAAUUAACCUUA
Molecule: transfer RNA, 66 nt
Filed under: Coscineuta sp. OR249
Lineage: Eukaryota; Metazoa; Arthropoda; Insecta; Orthoptera; Acrididae
Description: tRNA-Ala
Source: RNAcentral